This 271-nucleotide ribosomal RNA is filed under the name uncultured bacterium. RNAcentral describes it as "partial 16S ribosomal RNA". It matches the Rfam family "Bacterial small subunit ribosomal RNA", at positions 334 to 597 of the family's 1533-position model. The record is from RNAcentral.
UUUUCCUACGGGAGGCAGCAGUAGGGAAUUUUCGUCAAUGGGCGCAAGCCUGAACGAGCAAUGCCGCGUGAACGAGGAAGGUCUUCGGAUCGUAAAGUUCUGUUGAAGGGGAAAAAGAGCGGAGAGAGGAAAUGAACUCCGAUUGAUAUUACCCUUCGAGGAAGUCACGGCUAACUACGUGCCAGCAGCCGCGGUAAUACGUAGGUGGCGAGCGUUAUCCGGAAUGAUUGGCCGUAAAGGGUGCGUAGGCGGCCUGCUAAGCUUGGAGUGA